GCGGCCGUCGUCUAGCCUGGCCUAGGACACCGGCCUGCCACGCCGGCGACCCGGGUUCAAAUCCCGGCGGCCGCACCA
Molecule: transfer RNA, 78 nt
Filed under: Candidatus Bathyarchaeota archaeon
Lineage: Archaea; Thermoproteati; Candidatus Bathyarchaeota
Description: tRNA-Gly
Rfam family: tRNA
About the family: Transfer RNA (tRNA) molecules are approximately 80 nucleotides in length. Their secondary structure includes four short double-helical elements and three loops (D, anti-codon, and T loops). Further hydrogen bonds mediate the characteristic L-shaped molecular structure. tRNAs have two regions of fundamental functional importance: the anti-codon, which is responsible for specific mRNA codon recognition, and the 3' end, to which the tRNAs corresponding amino acid is attached (by aminoacyl-tRNA synthetases). tRNAs cope with the degeneracy of the genetic code in two manners: having more than one tRNA (with a specific anti-codon) for a particular amino acid; and 'wobble' base-pairing, i.e. permitting non-standard base-pairing at the 3rd anti-codon position.
Source: RNAcentral